RNAcentral lists this ribosomal RNA (249 nucleotides) under uncultured Actinomycetales bacterium. Its description in RNAcentral is "partial 16S ribosomal RNA". It matches the Rfam family "Bacterial small subunit ribosomal RNA", at positions 82 to 334 of the family's 1533-position model. Lineage: Bacteria; Bacillati; Actinomycetota; Actinomycetes; Actinomycetales. The record is from RNAcentral.
CUGGGGUGCUCGAGUGGCGAACGGGUGAGUAACACGUGGGUGAUCUGCCCUGCACUUCGGGAUAAGCUUGGGAAACUGGGUCUAAUACCGGAUAGGACCAUCGUUUAGUGUCGGUGGUGGAAAGUUUUUUCGGUGUGGGAUGAGCUCGCGGCCUACCAGCUUGUUGGUGGGGUAAUGGCCUACCAAGGCGUCGACGGGUAGCCGGCCUGAGAGGGUGUACGGCCACAUUGGGACUGAGAUACGGCCCAG